Molecule: ribosomal RNA, 451 nt
Filed under: uncultured bacterium
Lineage: Bacteria
Description: bacterial SSU rRNA
Rfam family: Bacterial small subunit ribosomal RNA
Source: RNAcentral
GUGGGGAAUCUUGCGCAAUGGGCGAAAGCCUGACGCAGCAACGCCGCGUGGAGGAUGAAGGCCCUUGGGUUGUAAACUCCUGUCGGCUGGGAAGAAGUCGUUUGUGGCUAAUACCCGCAGACGUUGACUGUACCAGCAAAGGAAGCCCCGGCUAACUCUGUGCCAGCAGCCGCGGUAAUACAGAGGGGGCCAGCGUUAUUCGGAAUUAUUGGGCGUAAAGGGCGCGUAGGCGGCCAUGCGUGUCUUCCGUGAAAUCCCUCGGCUCAACCGAGGACGUGCGGAAGAAACUGCAAGGCUCGAGUCCGGAAGAGGGGGGCGGAAUUCCCAGUGUAGCGGUGAAAUGCGUAGAUAUUGGGAGGAACACCAGUGGCGAAGGCGGUCCCCUGGGCCGGAACUGACGCUGAGGCGCGAAAGCGUGGGUAGCAAACGGGAUUAGAAACCCCAGUAGUCC